GACUGCUGCACACUCACCUCAUCCUGUCGUGUUGUGGAGGCAGACAGCAGCCACAGCCUGGGAGCAGCAGCCACAAAGGGACAGCAAGCAAUGCCCUGCAGCAGAUGGAGCAGCACCGCUGGGACACACGGAGACUGCAUCCCAUCCACGGCCACCCGAGAGGAGCACAGAGCCCAGCAGCACAGAGCAUGGAGAGGCAAGCCUGGGGACAAAGACCCAAGACGGAUCCCACAGGCCAUUGAUGAAAAUGCUGAAUAGCACUGGGCUUCACAUCAAACCCUGCGGACACCCACUGAGCGUGCUCCCAUUCUGCAAGGAUUCCCCAUUGAUGCCUGUCGGUUUGCCAGCUCCCCGUCCC
Molecule: long non-coding RNA, 358 nt
Organism: Gallus gallus (chicken)
Lineage: Eukaryota; Metazoa; Chordata; Aves; Galliformes; Phasianidae
Source: Ensembl